GAUGAACGCUGGCGGCGUGCCUAAUACAUGCAAGUCGAGCGAACAGAUGAGGAGCUUGCUCCUCUGACGUUAGCGGCGGACGGGUGAGUAACACGUGGAUAACCUACCUAUAUGACUGGGAUAACUUCGGGAAACCGGAGCUACUACCGGAUAAUAUAUUGAACCGCAUGGUUCAAUAGUGAAAGACGGUUUUGCUGUCACUUAUAGCUGGAUCCGCGCCGCAUUAGCUAGUUGGUAAGGUAACGGCUUACCAAGGCAACGAUGCGUAGCCGACCUGAGAGGGUGAUCGGCCACACUGGAACUGAGACACGGUCCAGACUCCUACGGGAGGCAGCAGUAGGGAAUCUUCCGCAAUGGGCGAAAGCCUGACGGAGCAACGCCGCGUGAGUGAUGAAGGUCUUCGGAUCGUAAAACUCUGUUAUUAGGGAAGAACAAAUGUGUAAGUAACUAUGCACGUCUUGACGGUACCUAAUCAGAAAGCCAUGGCUAACUACGUG
This 497-nucleotide ribosomal RNA is filed under the name uncultured bacterium. RNAcentral's name for it is "partial 16S ribosomal RNA". It matches the Rfam family "Bacterial small subunit ribosomal RNA", at positions 28 to 507 of the family's 1533-position model. The record is from RNAcentral.